Macaca mulatta (Rhesus monkey) is the source of this 663-nucleotide non-coding RNA. The record is from RefSeq and is a predicted model, not a curated record. NCBI's taxonomy places the organism in Eukaryota, Metazoa, Chordata, Mammalia, Primates, Cercopithecidae.
GGCCUCCCAAAGUGCUGGGAUUACAGGCGUGAGCCACCGCGCCCGGCCUGAAUGCUUGAAUUUUGAAAACUAUUGACCCCAUUUCUCCCUCCGGCUACAUCCGUCCCCCAACUCCCUGCUCCGCUUAGUGUAGUAAUCAUUACACUAUCGAGGAGAUAGUGUAAUUCCUCGAAAGACUUGUCUAUGUCUGAUAUUUCCUCCUAUUCUUUCUGGAUCCACUCCAGCCUGGCUUUUGGCUCCCACAGUACCAGAAAUGCCCUGAUUUAAGGCCACCAGUGACAUCCACAGCACCGAAUCCAAUAGCCAUCUCUCAGUCUGACUGACACAGGGAGAAGGCGGCUGUCUGCAAGCCAGGAAGAGAGCCCUCACCGAGAACCACAUCAGCCAGCACCCUGACCUUGGACUUCUCAGCCCCCAGAACUGAAAGGACAUGAUUCGUAAAUGUCUGGUGGGAUGGAUUUUUGGACUGAACAUACCCUACAGGACCAGCACCCAGACCAAGAGAUGGAACAUUGCCAGCACCCCUGAAACCCUACUUGGGCCCACAAUGGUCACAAAUCCUUGCCACCCCCUCCCCAUGCCCCAAAGCAACCACUCCUCUAACAGCAUAAAUUAGCUCUGCUUGUUUUUAUGGUUUAAAUAAAUGGAAUCACAGAGUGUUUA